This 1953-nucleotide long non-coding RNA is filed under the name Marmota monax (woodchuck). Lineage: Eukaryota; Metazoa; Chordata; Mammalia; Rodentia; Sciuridae. The record is from RNAcentral.
GUUUAUUAAAAAAUUCCUGAUAGUGAAAGAUACUUAAGAACAGCAAAGGAAGUCCUGCCCUGUGGCCACGAUUAGAUGCUUCAGUACUGUCACUUCUAUUAUUCAUAUUAAAAUUGACAAAAUGAAUGAGAAAGUUAGCAAUGCACUUAACCAGCCCUUCCCAAGGAAUGCAGCAUAAGUACCAGUAGAUCCCUAGUUCACUUCACUCCAGGUUACAUUUGGAUGGUGUCCUUUUGGAUGAUGUCUUUAUGGUCUGCUUGGCUCUGAUUUCGUCUUAAUUUCAAAGAUCAUGUUCUUAGCCUCACGGUGGGGCACUCAUAAUAUAGACACUUGUAUGCCAACUUCUUCCAAAUUCAGUCGCUGCUAUACCAGUGUCAGAUACUGUCUACACCAGCAAAUUGAAAACUACCGCAUCAGUAACUGACACACAUUGAAAGAAACUCCAGUCUACAAAACCUUUGCACUCUAUGUGAGGUACAGUUGAGGCCGAUGUGAUACUGGGCUCAUUGUCAGUUCCAUCAGUGUUGAAGACUGCCUGCAAGUUGCUUACUGGGAAUAAAGAAAAGUGUCCUUCUGUAUGUUUGGAGUUUUCACAUCAUACGUUUGGAGAAUUAAUUGUUGAUAGUGCAUGAUUUCUCUCACCCAGGUCCAAAGAGCAUAACUUUUUGUGCCCUUACUCUCUUUUUUGACCCAAUCCAAAUUCCUACUUUUCGCAUAUGGUUUAUAUCACUGAGAAAAUGAAAACCUUUGGGCUAAAAAAAAAAAAAAGAAAUUGAGAAGUAAAAUGUGGGUCAGAUGUUUCAUAGGUGUCCAUUUAAUAUAUAUGUACAAAAGCCAGUAUAUUUGAAUUAGGUGAGUAGGUUCUUAGUUUCUUGAUUUCUACAUGUGUCUGCCUAUGUGCAAAUAGAGUAUGUUAUUUACUAUAUGGUUAUUGUGGUAUAAUGUGCAAAUUUCAGUGUGUGCAUUAUCCUGAUUAUUGAACAUUAUUAUCUCUCUAUCAGGAAUAAACUUGCACAUGAAACAUUUUUUUUUUUUAAUCACAAAGGAUGUAUUUCCCUAAGUAGCACUUUUGGAGCAGGGGAAGGACGAAAACUGCUAUUCCCUCAUCCCCCUCCUAUAUGAUAUGCAUAUGCCUGAGUUAUAUAAAGACAUUUAGGUCGUUAAUGGGCAUGUUAAUAAGAGCGUUCUGAUGCAAAUUCAUUUUCAAAAUGAUAAUAUUUUUUCCUUCCCCAAAGUGAAAAAUGGCAGAAAUCUUGGUGAACUGAGCACCAUAGUUAUAUAUAAUAUUUCCCUGCUAAGGUCUAGUUUGAAGAAAAAAAAAAACUUGAAAACAAACCUGUAAGGUUGAGCCUGGGUUGCUAUAAAGACUGUGGUGGUGUGUGCUUCUGGGAUGAGCUGUAGAAGGCAUAGUUGACUUCCGGACCUUGGAUAUUCUUACUCAGUUCAAUAUAAACAGAAAAACAAGCUGGUGCCCGUGGUGCUUUAUAGUGCAGUCAAGAGUAAAAAUACAUGUUGUUGCAGCCCCAUUUCCUUCACAAACACUCGCACAAUUUUCAAAAGAGGAAGUUGCUGUGGCCUCUGUUUUCCCAGCUUCUCCGUGGUAUGAAGUCCCAGUUUUUAGAAGCUGAAGCCAAUCUUAGGGUGCAUCGUCUCUGUGGUGUGGAGGCCCAGCACUGCACUAGCUGCCUGGGGGAAUGACCCCCUCCGAACACGCAGAGCUCAGACUCACUGUCCAUCUGUGUUCCCAGAGAACAAUGUGAAGAGUCCUAGAACAGGAACUCAUCAGACUGUCAGGGGCCUAUGUAGCCAAAACGUCACUGAAUAGAAAACUUCUGUUGUCUUCAGUCCUCAUGCUUUGUCACUGUAAAGCGAACAAAACAUUUUUACUAUAAUUUAAAGGAGCUGCUUUUUUAUAGCACAUACUACUUCGCUUUGUACUAUAUUUGAUAGUUG